RNAcentral lists this long non-coding RNA (683 nucleotides) under Hordeum vulgare. Its description in RNAcentral is "long non-coding RNA (HVUL_LNC020876)". The record is from RNAcentral. Lineage: Eukaryota; Viridiplantae; Streptophyta; Magnoliopsida; Poales; Poaceae.
AUGAAUGUAAUGAUAUAAUUUUGAUAACACAUAUUACAUAUUAAACAAGUCAAAUUGAUGAUCUAGAACAACACACAUGUCCUAUACACUGCACGGUGGGAAUACUAACAUUAAUUUAGAUUUAGGACCCCUAAAUUUUAGUUUCCCCCGGCCUCCGAAAUCCCAGGACCGGCCCUGCUUAUUUCCUUCAUUGGGGGCGUCGGGCCAAGCUCCGACAGCCGCGAGCUUGGAUGCCAUGGCUGGGCUCCUGUUGACACAAGAAGGAGAGACAAAGAGAUGGUGAGAGGGAGAGAUGAGAGAGGGAAACGGGAGGAGGGAGAGGGAUGGAGAUGCUGAGGAAGAGGGCGUCCUGGGUCCUUUUCUGUCGAGCUCGUCGGCGCGGUGGAGUCCAACGGGGAGGUACAGGUCCGGCAGGUGGUACUGGUCCUCGGGUGACAUCGGCUUGGACGUGGGGCUCGUGCAGGUGAAGCAGAGGAGGCUGGCGAGCAGAAGCGCUAGGCAUCAGGGGACUGGUUCCAUCGAGGGGAGCCGAUUCCCGGCGUCGAGAGGCUGCAAGCAGAGCUCAAAAUGGAGCUGCUCUAGCUCCAUGGUUGCGACUGCUCUUGUCCAAAGACAGAACGCGAGAUGAUUGAGGGGGAAGAAUGUUGGGCAUAAGCCACUACGACGCGUAGGGCGAGCGUGUG